This 486-nucleotide ribosomal RNA is filed under the name uncultured bacterium. Its description in RNAcentral is "partial 16S ribosomal RNA". It matches the Rfam family "Bacterial small subunit ribosomal RNA", at positions 30 to 507 of the family's 1533-position model. The record is from RNAcentral.
AUUGAACGCUGGCGGCAUGCCUUACACAUGCAAGUCGAACGGCAGCACGGGUGCUUGCACCUGGUGGCGAGUGGCGAACGGGUGAGUAAUACAUCGGAACAUGUCCUGUAGUGGGGGAUAGCCCGGCGAAAGCCGGAUUAAUACCGCAUACGAUCUACGGAUGAAAGCGGGGGACCUUCGCGCCUCGCGCUAUAGGGUUGGCCGAUGGCUGAUUAGCUAGUUGGUGGGGUAAAGGCCUACCAAGGCGACGAUCAGUAGCUGGUCUGAGAGGACGACCAGCCACACUGGGACUGAGACACGGCCCAGACUCCUACGGGAGGCAGCAGUGGGGAAUUUUGGACAAUGGGCGAAAGCCUGAUCCAGCAAUGCCGCGUGUGUGAAGAAGGCCUUCGGGUUGUAAAGCACUUUUGUCCGGAAAGAAAUCCUUGGCCCUAAUACGGUCGGGGGAUGACGGUACCGGAAGAAUAAGCACCGGCUAACUACGUG